UACGUAGGGGGCAAGCGUUGUCCGGAAUUAUUGGGCGUAAAGAGCUCGUAGGCGGUUUGUCACGUCUGCUGUGAAAUCCCGAGGCUCAACCUCGGGUCUGCAGUGGGUACGGGCAGACUGGAGUGCGGUAGGGGAGAAUGGAAUUCCUGGUGUAGCGGUGGAAUGCGCAGAUAUCAGGAGGAACACCGAUGGCGAAGGCAGUUCUCUGGGCCGUAACUGACGCUGAGGAGCGAAAGCGUGGGGAGCGAACAGG
This 253-nucleotide ribosomal RNA is filed under the name uncultured bacterium. RNAcentral's name for it is "partial 16S ribosomal RNA". It matches the Rfam family "Bacterial small subunit ribosomal RNA", at positions 524 to 776 of the family's 1533-position model. The record is from RNAcentral.